Molecule: ribosomal RNA, 595 nt
Filed under: uncultured bacterium
Lineage: Bacteria
Description: bacterial SSU rRNA
Rfam family: Bacterial small subunit ribosomal RNA (bases 1-524)
Source: RNAcentral
CCUACGGGAGGCAGCAGUGGGGAAUAUUGCGCAAUGGGCGAAAGCCUGACGCAGCGACGCCGCGUGCGGGAUGAAGGCCUUCGGGUUGUAAACCGCUGUCGGGUAGGGACGAAUCAAUGACGGUACCUCCAAAGGAAGCACCGGCUAACUCUGUGCCAGCAGCCGCGGUAAUACAGAGGGUGCAAGCGUUGUCCGGAAUUACUGGGCGUAAAGGGCGCGUAGGCGGUUCGGUAAGUAGGGGGUGAAAUGCUGCGGCUACAACCCGGCAGCCCCUGCCUUCUAAACUGCCAGACUUGAGCGUAACAGAGGCAGGUGGAAUUCCCGGUGUAGCGGCGGAAUGCGUAGAGAUCGGGAAGAACAUCGGUGGCGAAGGCGGCCUGCUGGGUUACUGCUGACGCUGAGGCGCGAUAGCGUGGGGAGCAAACAGGAUUAGAUACCCUGGUAGUCCACGCCGUAAACGAUGGGUACUAGGCGCUGGGGGAGCGACCCCUCGGUGCCGUCGCUAACGCAAUAAGUACCCCGCCUGGGGAGUCGGCCGCGAAGGCNGACACAAUAGAUAGACGCGNGAGACGUGCGACGCGACGACGAGGAGAGG